Molecule: ribosomal RNA, 512 nt
Filed under: uncultured bacterium
Lineage: Bacteria
Description: partial 16S ribosomal RNA
Rfam family: Bacterial small subunit ribosomal RNA
Source: RNAcentral
GACGAACGCUGGCGGCGUGCCUAAUACAUGCAAGUCGAGCGGAACUGGGGGAGCUUGCUCCUUCCAGUUUUGCGGCGGACGGGUGAGUAACACGUGGGCAACCUGCCCUGCAGAUCGGGAUAACUCCGGGAAACCGGUGCUAAUACCGAAUAGUUUGGCGCCUCUCCUGAGGCGCUACGGAAAGACGGUUUCGGCUGUCACUGCAGGAUGGGCCCGCGGCGCAUUAGCUAGUUGGUGGGGUAACGGCCCACCAAGGCGACGAUGCGUAGCCGACCUGAGAGGGCGACCGGCCACACUGGGACUGAGACACGGCCCAGACUCCUACGGGAGGCAGCAGUAGGGAAUCUUCCGCAAUGGACGCAAGUCUGACGGAGCAACGCCGCGUGAGUGACGAAGGUUUUCGGAUCGUAAAACUCUGUUGUGAGGGAAGAACACGUACCAACUAACUAUUGGUACCUUGACGGUACCUCGCCAGAAAGCCACGGCUAACUACGUGCCAGCCGCCGCGGUAA